RNAcentral lists this ribosomal RNA (467 nucleotides) under uncultured bacterium. RNAcentral describes it as "partial 16S ribosomal RNA". It matches the Rfam family "Bacterial small subunit ribosomal RNA", at positions 28 to 506 of the family's 1533-position model. The record is from RNAcentral.
GACGAACGCUGGCGGCGUGCUUAACACAUGCAAGUCGAACGGAAAGGCCCUGCUUUUGUGGGGUGCUCGAGUGGCGAACGGGUGAGUAACACGUGAGUAACCUGCCCUUGACUUUGGGAUAACUUCAGGAAACUGGGGCUAAUACCGGAUAGGAGCUCCUGCUGCAUGGUGGGGGUUGGAAAGUUUCGGCGGUUGGGGAUGGACUCGCGGCUUAUCAGCUUGUUGGUGGGGUAGUGGCUUACCAAGGCUUUGACGGGUAGCCGGCCUGAGAGGGUGACCGGCCAAUUGGGGUAUGAGAUACGGCCCAGCCUCCUAGGGGGGGGAGCAGUGGGGAAUAUUGAAUGAUGGGCGGAACCGUGAUGGAGCAACGCCGGGGGGGGGAGGAGGGCCUUGGGGUGGAAACCCGUUUUCGCUGUGGAGGAAGCGUGAGGAGCGGGAAUGGGAAAAGAAGCACCGGCUAACUGCGU